AAAUAAAUAAAAAUGAGACUAAAUUGGAAUAUCUAGAAUUCUCUUCAAUUCUCUUCAUUUUCAUCAGCUAAAAAAUAGCCAUGGAAGAGGGUUCAAGUUGGUUUUCAUACUCUAGCUUCAUAUCAAGAGAAACGAGAUUCAAGUCGCAAUCGAGGGAAAAACAAAGUUUACGAGGAAUAGGCUCGAUUGCUAAUAUUUUGUAUCGAGUUUUGACAAGCCGGCUUGAGAAUCAGGAUAGGUCGAAGGCUCGUUCACACUAUCCGAAGACUUAAAUUGGUAAAAUGGCUUGUAUAUUUUGAGUGUGGCAUGUAUAGCAAUAUACUCACUUUGUGUAAAUGAUCAUAUGAUAUGGUUAUGGUUUGGUAAGAAAAGGGUUUGUAAAUGAUUAGCUAUUGGAAUGGUUAAUCGAGUUUAUAUAUGAUAACAUGUAUGCUUUAUGUCUUAACUAAA
This is a long non-coding RNA of Gossypium arboreum, 450 nucleotides long. RefSeq lists it as uncharacterized. The transcript is spliced from 3 exons. The record is from RefSeq and is a predicted model, not a curated record. Lineage: Eukaryota; Viridiplantae; Streptophyta; Magnoliopsida; Malvales; Malvaceae.